CCCGUCAUCUCGGCGCUUUCCCUUCACCGAGUCGCUCUGCUUCUUCAUAUUCUUCUGGCGGGCGAGCUCGCGCUGGUUACCGCCUAGAGGAAGGAGGCAAAAGGCUCACCAGAGGAUAUGUUUUUAUUGGUUUUAGAGAGAGAAGAGAGAGAAACAUCGUUUAGCCACCUCCCUUGCUCUACUGCGGAUGAAACCCUCCACCUGAGUAUGUUCCCUGACCCAGAAUCCAACCUGCGACCUUUCAGUGCCUGGGAGGACACUCCGGCAGAGCCACACCCAGCAGGCUGGAUGUGAAUUUUAACUUGUGAUUUUGUCCAGCUAGCUCCCAUAGCAGAACCCGCUUGAGGCUGGAACUUCAAACCGGCUUCUCCCUCAUAGUUUUUGCCAUACCUAACUAAGUAUCACUUGAACUACUGUCUAUUACUUAAUUUUCUUUGUAUAUGUCUUAAAUGAAGCAUGUAAGUCAAACCUCA
Myotis daubentonii (Daubenton's bat) is the source of this 473-nucleotide long non-coding RNA. RefSeq lists it as uncharacterized. The record is from RefSeq and is a predicted model, not a curated record. Lineage: Eukaryota; Metazoa; Chordata; Mammalia; Chiroptera; Vespertilionidae. The transcript has 2 exons.